AUUAAAAGCCAUUCAGCCAUAAAAAAGAUGAAUAAAUAAUUAAACUUAGAGAUUAUUUAAUUUCUAGAUUAUCAAAAUAGGAUUGGAUUUUACUCAGAGCAAAUUGUGACCCUUGGACACUGGUCAAUAAUGAUUUACACAAUUUUAUGUCAUUAGAGUUUUGGAAAGUAUAGUUCGUUCAAAAAUCUGUAGAUAACUCAGCAUUUUUUAUAGUGGCUAGAAGAAAAAUAAAUAAUCAUUACAUUCACUCUAUGACCAAUUAAAAACUUUGGUAAUAAACCUCUUUAGUAAAAAAAAAUGUACACAAUCAAGAAACAAGAUGUUUCUUACUUUGUUGUUAGGAGACAACUGUGGGAUAUCAGUGUGGUUUAUUUCUUCGCAUAUGUCCAGAGUCUGAAAUUAAGCAUUUUCAUGUAACUAAUGCACAAGUAAAAAUCUGCUGUGAACCAUCAGAUGAUUCAUUGGAGAUAUUGAUGAUUGCAUUGAUGAUUACGAGAGUGAGAGGCAGGGUGAAGCAGAAGACUAAGAGAUCUCAUGAAAGUUUCCAAAAUGUACAAGUUCAUCUGAGAGAAGGUUAAAGCCAUAAUGGGUGCAUUUCCUGAAGAAGUUGGAAGUUUAAAUGAUGAAGAAUUAAUGGGAGGAAGAUUACAGCAGAGCUCAAGACAAAGAAGCAGGGAUAAGGAUGGAGUAGAGCAUUGUGGGAAAGGAGCUAUAAAGGAUCUCAAAUAUCAACGGAAUGAUUUUCCCUUAUUUUGUAUGUGAAGAACUGAGAAGCAUAGAGGUUAAGUGAAAUUCCCGUGGUCAUAUAUCGGCAAAUGGCAAAGUUGAAAGUUGAAAGAAGUUCUCCUGACUUCCAAGUUACUGCCCUUUUUAUUCCUUCAUUUCAAGACUGGGCAUCUACACUAUAGUACACUACAGAUGGGAUAAAUGAGUUCUCUAAGAAAUUAGUGAAAUAGUGGUGAGAGAAAAAAUGAGGAAGGCAAUGUACACAAAAUGUCAACUGAAUUACAUACUUUAUUACUUUCCUUUCUAUGAAAAUAAUAUUCUAUUUCAAAGCUAUAUUAACUAGCUUUCCAUUGAUCCAUUCUUUUAUGCUUUUGUAUUUUCACAAUAUAUUAAAAUUAUCCAAGUGCUAGAGCAAGUAGGGUAUAUUUUGAUAGAAUCAAGUAUAAUAUUUUGUCACAUUUAGGAUGUAUGUCUUCCUUUGUAUUAUCACACACAACUUUGAAAUCCAAAAGAUAUGUCCUAUUCAUUUUGAGCGUUGAUUAAAACAACAAAUGGAAUGACUAUGUCAGCAUUGAUAUUCUGAACUGACCACAGAGUAAGAAGGUAAAUGAAAUAAAUGCCUCUAGGAGUGAAGAGUUUUUUGAGGAAGUAUUUUAAGGCAAGAGAGAAGCUACCAGAUGCUCACUAGUUAUUAAAAGAAGAGCUUGCUGCCUUCACAGCAUGAGUCAUCAUCCCCUGUGCUGGUGUGGCUUGUCAUCAGUUCUCUCUCUUUCCUUGUCCUCAGUCCUGUCACUUACUGUAGAUCUACGCUUCUAUUUCAGGACAUACUUGGGGAUGAAUGAAUCCUUACCAGGAAGCAUAUAAGAACUCUCUGACUGAAGCAAGGAUUGUUUGAUUAAUUACUGUUUCCAGGAUUUUACUAUGUGUAACUUCUUUUUCUUCAGAAACGCUUUAUGGGUUGUUGUGAAAGAACGCAUGCUUUGAACAGCUGAGGAAAACCGAGAGGAUCACAGCGACACCAAGCACGGGCCAACAUGAAGUCAAAACUUUGCAUUAACCCACCCUGCAGUUGCUCACGUCCAGGGAAACAGAGUUCAAGAAAGACUGAGAAAUGUGCUGAAGGUUACCCAAUGCUACCUGGUCAAACUGGAAUUUGAACCUGAAUGUGCCUGAUUAAAAAGCCCAGUUUUCUUUUUCUCUCUUCUAGUUUUGUGGACGUUUUUACAGACAUGUGCCGUCUUCAGGGCCUGAUCUUUAUCUUUCUAGAUUCCAAUGCAUCUAGUUUGAUACUGAAGCUGCCAAUCAAUUUUACUGGACUAAAUCAAAUCUGUAAAAUCUUGGCCAAGUUUAUAAAAAAAUAAAAUAUAAAACUACCA
This 2102-nucleotide long non-coding RNA is filed under the name Equus caballus (horse). RNAcentral describes it as "lncRNA (ENSECAG00000049100.1)". Lineage: Eukaryota; Metazoa; Chordata; Mammalia; Perissodactyla; Equidae. The record is from RNAcentral.